This 253-nucleotide ribosomal RNA is filed under the name uncultured bacterium. Its description in RNAcentral is "partial 16S ribosomal RNA". It matches the Rfam family "Bacterial small subunit ribosomal RNA", at positions 524 to 776 of the family's 1533-position model. The record is from RNAcentral.
UACAGAGGGGGCAAGCGUUGUUCGGAAUUACUGGGCGUAAAGGGCGCGUAGGCGGCCAACUAAGUCGGACGUGAAAUCCCUCAGCUUAACUGGGGAACUGCGUCUGAUACUGGAUGGCUUGGAUUCGGGAGAGGGAUGCGGAAUUCCAGGUGUAGCGGUGAAAUGCGUAGAUAUCUGGAGGAACACCGGUGGCGAAGGCGGCAUCCUGGACCGAUAUUGACGCUGAGGAGCGAAAGCCAGGGGAGCAAACGGG